This 345-nucleotide ribosomal RNA is filed under the name uncultured bacterium. RNAcentral describes it as "bacterial SSU rRNA". It matches the Rfam family "Bacterial small subunit ribosomal RNA", at positions 9 to 355 of the family's 1533-position model. The record is from RNAcentral.
GAGUUUGAUCCUGGCUCAGAUUGAACGCGGCGGCGUGCCUAACACAUGCAAGUCGAGCGGUAACAGGUGUAGCAAUACAUGCUGACGAGCGGCGAACGGGUGAGUAAUGCUUCGGAAUCUACCUUAUGGUGGGGAAUAACUAGCCGAAAGGUUAGCUAAUACCGCAUACGUCCUACGGGAGAAAGCAGGGGAUCGCAAGACCUUGCGCCAAAAGAUGAUCCGAAGUCGGAUUAGCUAGUUGGUAGGGUAACGGCCUACCAAGGCGACGAUCCGUAGCUGGUCUGAGAGGACGACCAGCCACACUGGGACUGAGACACGGCCCAGACUCCUACGGGAGGCAGCAGA